UACGUAGGAUCCGAGCGUUAUCCGGAGUGACUGGGCGUAAAGAGUUGCGUAGGCGGUUAGUAAAGCGAAUAGUGAAACCUGGUGGCUCAACCAUACAGACUAUUAUUCGAACUCACUAACUCGAGAGUAGCAGAGGUAACUGGAAUUUCUUGUGUAGGAGUGAAAUCCGUAGAUAUAAGAAGGAACACCAAUGGCGUAGGCAGGUUACUGGGCUAUUUCUGACGCUAAGGCACGAAAGCGUGGGGAGCGAACCGG
This 255-nucleotide ribosomal RNA is filed under the name uncultured bacterium. RNAcentral describes it as "partial 16S ribosomal RNA". It matches the Rfam family "Bacterial small subunit ribosomal RNA", at positions 524 to 776 of the family's 1533-position model. The record is from RNAcentral.